AAACAUUAAAAAAAGUCUAAGGUAAUACAAUUAUAUUCAACUAAAAAUAAUCACAAUAAUUUGCACUUAUGAGUUAAUGUGAUAAUCAUGUGUAAAAACUCUUUUCAACUAUUAUUUUUCACAAAAUAAUUUUGCGGAUCAGAUUGCUCGAAGCGCUUGUGUUAUUUACCGAGAAGAUGCAGCCCUGUUGGUUUUGAUUUCUGUAUCGCAUCGCGGUGAGUUUCUAUUUCUUGGUAAUUCGGUUGUGAAAUGACUAUUAAUUACAAGCACAGCAUCAUCAACGGUGAUUGCAAGAACUACUGCAAUCCCUGCGGUUUUUCCUCUUGGUAAAUGCGUUCUGGUCGUGACCAAGGGUGGUCUCCCAAAUCGGCCGGGAAUAAGUGGCGCUGUCCAUCGGCAACCCAACUGAGGUUCCGUUCCCAUCCAUAAUCGAUCCGAAAGUCAUAAUCGUACGAACUAAUCAAGGCUAUCAUAGAAUCCAUCGUAGUCCAAUUUUUCGUGAAAUCUACGAAAAUGCUAUUAAGUUCGAGUAGCUACGAACGCAGCGCUUGCU
Molecule: long non-coding RNA, 553 nt
Organism: Rhagoletis zephyria (snowberry fruit fly)
Lineage: Eukaryota; Metazoa; Arthropoda; Insecta; Diptera; Tephritidae
Source: RefSeq, a predicted model, not a curated record